Molecule: ribosomal RNA, 438 nt
Filed under: Lactobacillus delbrueckii subsp. bulgaricus
Lineage: Bacteria; Bacillati; Bacillota; Bacilli; Lactobacillales; Lactobacillaceae
Description: partial 23S ribosomal RNA
Rfam family: Bacterial large subunit ribosomal RNA
Source: RNAcentral
GGAACAGCCCAGACCAUCAGUUAAGGUCCCUAAAUGUAUGCUAAGUGGAAAAGGAUGUGGAGUUGCAUAGACAACUAGGAUGUUGGCUCAGAAGCAGCCACCAUUUAAAGAGUGCGUAAUAGCUCACUAGUCGAGUGAUCCUGCGCCGAAAAUGUACCGGGGCUAAGCAUACUACCGAAACCAUGGAUGCGACCAUUAGGUCGCGUGAUAGGAGAGCGUUCUAAGGGCGGUGAAGCAAGAUCGUGAGGACUUGUGGAGCGCUUAGAAGUGAGAAUGCCGGUAUGAGUAGCGAAAGAUAGGUGAGAAUCCUAUCCACCGAAUGACUAAGGUUUCCUGGGGAAGGCUCGUCCUCCCAGGGUUAGUCGGGACCUAAGUCGAGGCCGAGAGGCGUAGACGAUGGAUAACAGGUUGAGAUUCCUGUACUAGUUAAGUGCGUUU